UGGGGAAUAUUGCACAAUGGGCGGAAGCCUGAUGCAGCGACGCCGCGUGAGGGAUGACGGCCUUCGGGUUGUAAACCUCUUUCAGUAGGGACGAAGCGUAAGUGACGGUACCUGCAGAAGAAGCACCGGCUAAUUCCGUGCCAGCAGCCGCGGUAAUACGGAAGGUUCGGGCGUUAUCCGGAUUUAUUGGGUUUAAAGGGAGCGUAGGCCGUUUGGUAAGCGUGUUGUGAAAUGUAGGAGCUCAACUUCUAGAUUGCAGCGCGAACUGUCAGACCUGAGUGCGCACAACGUAGGCGGAAUUCAUGGUGUAGCGGUGAAAUGCUUAGAUAUCAUGAAGAACUCCGAUUGCGAAGGCAGCUUACGGGAGCGCAACUGACGCUGAAGCUCGAAGGUGCGGGUAUCGAACAGG
Molecule: ribosomal RNA, 409 nt
Filed under: Verrucomicrobiota bacterium
Lineage: Bacteria; Pseudomonadati; Verrucomicrobiota
Description: Verrucomicrobia bacterium partial 16S ribosomal RNA
Rfam family: Bacterial small subunit ribosomal RNA
Source: RNAcentral